Hipposideros armiger (great roundleaf bat) is the source of this 1298-nucleotide long non-coding RNA. RefSeq lists it as uncharacterized. The record is from RefSeq and is a predicted model, not a curated record. Lineage: Eukaryota; Metazoa; Chordata; Mammalia; Chiroptera; Hipposideridae. The transcript is spliced from 3 exons.
GUGGGUCCCCGAGUCUUGGCGAGACGGUCAAGGAUGGACCUGGGAUGGAGACCGGCGUGCAGCCACGUCCCUGGGGGAAGGCGGGGCGCAGGCUGGGACAGAGUACCUUUUAACCACCUCCUUGGCCAAGCUACGAAAAGCCACCUUUGCCCCAGCUCCUACAGCAGCCCGGAGACCACCCUGGGCCGGAGCCCAGCAUGACCACCAUUGCAUCUUGGCUCUCAAGCUCGGGACAGGAGGUGGGGAGCAGAGCCUGGCCCCAGCCUGAGGCCCCCUGAACCCGGUGCAUGCCCCUCUGCACAAGCUCCUGCUGGCCCGCUCGCAGCCUGCCUGGCCUUCUGGGCCCCAACCCAGCGGAGCGGCAUGACGGUGCCCAUGCCCAUCAUACAGGAGGAUGGCAGCCCAGAGAGCACAGAGGGCCUGUGGUCCAGUGGGUUGGGGUCCACGCUGGACCGGAGGGGGUCAGGCCCUCCUCACCCUGAGGGGCGUGCCAGACACCACCCAGGCCAAGUGAGGGGCCUGAGACUGGAACAGAGAUGAAUGAGUAGCCCUGCGUCUCUAGAAGGUUCUUCCAUAUCUUUUCUUGGCCUCCUGGGACGAGGCCCCCUUCGCCAGGGCACCCACCUCUAGCCAUGGGUAGAACACUUGCCUCUGGUCCCCAAUUUCCAGGGCCCUGCUCUCAGCCUGGCAAGGGGGGUGCUGGCCCAGUUCGGGAGACAACUGCCUUUCCAGAGCCCCUUCCCCUUCCCUGUUCCCCAUAUUGUCCGAAGGUGCCCCAGUCUGGGGGAAGCCGUGAGGAGACAAUGCGGCCCCAGGACCCUCAGCCCCUCUGUGCACCUCACCCCCAGGCCGCCCCACCGGCCUCUGAAAUGCAGACAUUUGUCUUCUCUGGCUUUGCGUCUGCGCUGGAGAGGACGCCCGCUGCCCUCCUGCCCACUGCCCAGCCUGGCCUGCGUUUGGGCCGCGGGUGGCUAAGGGCCCCCCAGGCACAGUGGGGUACAAAGUGGUGACCUGCCGCGCCUCCCUCAGCAGGAGAGAAAGACUCUGCUGUUUGGCCAGGGGACACUGCGCCACUCUCUCUCGGACCCUUCCAUGGCUGUGUCCUCCCUCCCAAAGAGUGGCCAUCAGAUUCCCUCUCUGGGCCCCUCACUCCCGGCUCCUGGCAACUCUAGCCCUUUUGUUUCCACGCUCGUGACAUGGCCCCUUCCCCGAGGCCCCAAUCCGUCCACCCCCUUUGCUCUCUUCCCAAUCAAUGCGCAUCCUCGUUUUCUAAAGGUCCACUGCUUUGUCCCCACGAA